Molecule: long non-coding RNA, 691 nt
Organism: Vespula pensylvanica (western yellowjacket)
Lineage: Eukaryota; Metazoa; Arthropoda; Insecta; Hymenoptera; Vespidae
Exons: 2
Source: RefSeq, a predicted model, not a curated record
GUAAUCAGAGAUCGUUCGGGUUCGUUGCGUACGAGCAAAUUGGGAGCUUUUUUGCGCUGUUGACGAUCGCAUUCGUUUCACAGAUUCGUUUCAUCUUCCAGCUCGACUUCGUUCGAGUCUUUUUAUGUUUUUACCAAGGAGUCCAGCCGAUCUAUCUCUCUUUCGCACAGAUUUAACAGAUUUUUAAAAGACGAUGUUCGAUCGAAAGGAUAUAUAGGACGUUUAACCUUGAAACAGCAACAACGUCGGAGAAGUUUCGGAGGGGCGCGAUGCAUCGUUGAGUUUGCUUCGCGACAUUCUUCUGGAGGCUUCUCUAUUCCACUUAAUGAAGUAUGUUAACGAAUCAACAGGUUACCUUGUAUAGCGUGGCCGUUGUGUAUAGCUCGCCUCUCUCUUUCGCCAUAGGGAUGCCUAUUAAAAGCCGUCGGCCUGCCGUUGAAACCGUUUCUUCUCGCACUCCUGCGAAACGCUUUUGCGAAGUGCGACUGGCCUCGGAUAUAAUGCGCACCUCGCGAUAAUCCCCUCGCCGCGUUGCAGAUUGGAUGAGAAGCAUCUGUAGUUAUUGUACAGCUUAUACGCGCUUUAGUAUUCUGGUAUAUCUAUGUAUAAGACCUAUUUCCUUUCCUCGUUUCGCGAGAGCAAAAUAUACGACUUCCUUGGACGUUUGCUUCCACCAUCUUUCUUUCCUUCC